Molecule: ribosomal RNA, 497 nt
Filed under: uncultured bacterium
Lineage: Bacteria
Description: partial 16S ribosomal RNA
Rfam family: Bacterial small subunit ribosomal RNA
Source: RNAcentral
GAUGAACGCUGGCGGCGUGCCUAAUACAUGCAAGUCGAGCGAACAGACGAGGAGCUUGCUCCUCUGACGUUAGCGGCGGACGGGUGAGUAACACGUGGAUAACCUACCUAUAAGACUGGGAUAACUUCGGGAAACCGGAGUUAAUACCGGAUAAUAUAUUGAACCGCAUGGUUCAAUAGUGAAAGACGGUUUUGCUGUCACUUAUAGAUGGAUCCGCGCCGCAUUAGAUAGUUGGUAAGGUAACGGCUUACCAAGGCAACGAUGCGUAGCCGACCUGAGAGGGUGAUCGGCCACACUGGAACUGAGACACGGUCCAGACUCCUACGGGAGGCAGCAGUAGGGAAUCUUCCGCAAUGGGCGAAAGCCUGACGGAGCAACGCCGCGUGAGUGAUGAAGGUCUUCGGAUCGUAAAACUCUGUUAUUAGGGAAGAACAAAUGUGUAAGUAACUAUGCACGUCUUGACGGUACCUAAUCAGAAAGCCACGGCUAACUACGUG